GAAUUUGACGGUGAUUUAAUCAUUUCAGAGGAGCCUGUAUUUUAAUCGAUAACCCACGAUAGAUUCAACCUUGAAAUUUUAUUUGUAUAUCUCUGUCUUAAGAAUGUUUUAUUAGAAUUGAUUUUCAUAGAUUUAUUAAAAAUUGAAGUCAGGUCAAGGUGCAGUUUUUUAAGGAUUAUAUGGGCUACAUUUAUUUAUAAUUAUGGACUUAGAGUUGAAUAAGCUCUUUAUGAAAUUGGAUUUGGUUGUAAUGAAUAUUACUUUUUAUUUUUGAUAUUUGCUCUGGGUUAAGUACACAUCGCCCGUCACUCUUGCUAUUAAGGUAAGAUAAGUCGUAACAAAGUAGGCUUAUCGGAAGAUAAGCCUGGAAUUAAUUUCAAUUUGUGCUAAGGGCUAUUGUUAUUUACAUUAACAAAAUACUUGUGCAAUUCAAGUCUAAUUGAUUAUGACAUAUUUUAAUAUUAAUCUUAGUAAUAUUUUAGUUAAUAAAAAUAAUUUUAGUUUAAGUAAUUAUUAAUGAAUUUAUUUAUAUUAUUUUAAUAGAGAAUAGUACUGUAAAGGAACUUUAAUUUUAUAAUAAAAAGUAAACUUUUUGGUUGUACCUUUUGUAUCAGGGUUUAUUUAUUAAUAAUAAUUAAUAUUAUUUAUCCCGAAAUUAUAAGAGAUAUUUAUAAUAUUAAGUUAAUGUUGUAAAAAUUAUUUAAAAAUUAUAAAUAGGAGUGAUAUGCUAUUCAUUUAUAAAUAUCUGGUUUUUUGAGAAUUGAAUUUAAUUCAUUUAUAAUAAAUUAGUAAAUAUAUUCUAUAAUAUCUAAUAUUUUAUAAUAACAUUUAGGGGGAUAAGCUCUUAAAUUAUUUAUAGGUUUAUAUUUUUUUUAAAUUAUGUAGGAUUAAUAAUUUCCUUCUUUUAAUAUUUUGUUAUAAUUAUUUUUUAGUUUUAAAUUUUAAUUUUUUAUUCCUUAAUUUUAUAUCAAAAAAUUUUAUUUAAUUUUGUAUUAAAAGUUAUAAUGAUAAAAUUAGUAUAAUCUUUAAUAUAUAAACAGUAACUUGGCAAUUACAAUAUUCACCUGUUUAACAAAAACAUCUCUUAUUGCUAAUAUUUAAUAAGUAAGGCCUGCUCGGUGAUUAAUUUAACAGCUGCAGUAUUUUGACUGUGCAAAGGUAGCAUAAUCAUUUGUCUUUUAAUUGAAGGCUGGGAUGAAUGGUUUGAUGAAAUAUUAACUUUCUUUUUAUAUUAUAUUAAAAAUUAAUUUUUAAGUGAAAAAGCUUAAAUAUAAUUGGGGGACGAGAAGACCCUUUAGAACUUAAAUACCAUUAUUAAUAUAUUUUUUAGGGUAUUUAUUAUUUAUAUUAAUUAAGUUAUUUUUAUUGGGGUGAUAAAGAAAUUUAUGCAACUUUCUUUCAAUCAUUUUAUAAAUUAAUAUACUAUUGAUCCUAUUUAUAGAUUAUAAGAUUAAGUUACCU
RNAcentral lists this ribosomal RNA (1461 nucleotides) under Urostylis annulicornis. RNAcentral describes it as "partial 16S rRNA". The record is from RNAcentral. Lineage: Eukaryota; Metazoa; Arthropoda; Insecta; Hemiptera; Urostylididae.